Molecule: non-coding RNA, 474 nt
Organism: Pelobates cultripes (western spadefoot toad)
Lineage: Eukaryota; Metazoa; Chordata; Amphibia; Anura; Pelobatidae
Source: the annotation of a GenBank genome assembly
AUGGGACACAGAGUCUCUCCCUCCCACUGCAGGGUGACACAGACAGAAGGAGCUAUGGGAUACGGAGUCUGUCACUCCCACUGCUGGGUGACACAGACAGAAGGAGCUAUGGGACACGGAGUCUGUCCCUCCCACUGCAGGGUGACAGACAGAAGGGAGCUAUGGGACACAGAGUCUCUCCCUCCCGCUGCUGGGUGAACCAGACAGAAGGAGCUAUGGGACACAGAGUCUGUCCCUCCCGCUGCAGGGUGACACAGACAGAAGGAGCUAUGGGACACGGAGUCUGUCCCUCCCACUGCAGGGUGACACAGACAGAAGGAGCUAUGGGACACAGAGUCUGUCCCUCCCACUGCAGGGUGACACAGACAGAAGGAGCUAUGGGACACGGAGUCUGUCCCUCCCACUGCAGGGUGACACAGACAGAAGGAGCUAUGGGACACGGAGUCUGUCCCUCCCACUGCAGGGUGACACAGA